Molecule: ribosomal RNA, 253 nt
Filed under: uncultured bacterium
Lineage: Bacteria
Description: partial 16S ribosomal RNA
Rfam family: Bacterial small subunit ribosomal RNA
Source: RNAcentral
UACGUAGGGCGCAAGCGUUGUCCGGAAUUAUUGGGCGUAAAGAGCUCGUAGGCGGCUUGUCACGUCGGGUGUGAAAGCCCGGGGCUUAACCCCGGGUCUGCAUUCGAUACGGGCUAGCUAGAGUGUGGUAGGGGAGAUCGGAAUUCCUGGUGUAGCGGUGAAAUGCGCAGAUAUCAGGAGGAACACCGGUGGCGAGGGCGGAUCUCUGGGCCGUAACUGACGCUGAGGAGCGAAAGCAUGGGGAGCGAACGGG